GAUAACUGGCUUGUGGCGGCCAAACGUUCAUAGUGACGUUGCUUUUUGAUCCUUCGAUGUCGGCUCUUCCUAUUGUUGUGAAGCAGAUUUAGGAGUAUAAAUUAGUGCAUGUAAAAAUCAGCUAUAGUUGGUUAAGUCCAGGUUGCUCUGCAAGU
This 155-nucleotide non-coding RNA is filed under the name Buceros rhinoceros silvestris. RNAcentral's name for it is "Eukaryotic large subunit ribosomal RNA". It matches the Rfam family "Eukaryotic large subunit ribosomal RNA", at positions 2825 to 2937 of the family's 3401-position model. Lineage: Eukaryota; Metazoa; Chordata; Aves; Bucerotiformes; Bucerotidae. The record is from Rfam by way of RNAcentral.